AUUGAACGCUGGCGGCAUGCCUUACACAUGCAAGUCGAACGGCAGCACUGGUGCUUGCACCUGGUGGCGAGUGGCGAACGGGUGAGUAAUACAUCGGAACAUGUCCUGUAGUGGGGGAUAGCCCGGCGAAAGCCGGAUUAAUACCGCAUACGAUCUACGGAUGAAAGCGGGGGACCUUCGGGCCUCGCGCUAUAGGGUUGGCCGAUGGCUGAUUAGCUAGUUGGUGGGGUAAAGGCCUACCAAGGCGACGAUCAGUAGCUGGUCUGAGAGGACGACCAGCCACACUGGGACUGAGACACGGCCCAGACUCCUACGGGAGGCAGCAGUGGGGAAUUUUGGACAAUGGGCGAAAGCCUGAUCCAGCAAUGCCGCGUGUGUGAAGAAGGCCUUCGGGUUGUAAAGCACUUUUGUCCGGAAAGAAAUCCUUGGCCCUAAUACGGUCGGGGGAUGACGGUACCGGAAGAAUAAGCACCGGCUAACUACGUG
This 486-nucleotide ribosomal RNA is filed under the name uncultured bacterium. RNAcentral describes it as "partial 16S ribosomal RNA". It matches the Rfam family "Bacterial small subunit ribosomal RNA", at positions 30 to 507 of the family's 1533-position model. The record is from RNAcentral.